This is a long non-coding RNA of Lynx canadensis (Canada lynx), 3366 nucleotides long. RefSeq lists it as uncharacterized. The record is from RefSeq and is a predicted model, not a curated record. The transcript is spliced from 2 exons. NCBI's taxonomy places the organism in Eukaryota, Metazoa, Chordata, Mammalia, Carnivora, Felidae.
GAACUCAUGACGACGAGAUCAUGACCUGAGCCGGAACCAAGAGUGGGACGCUUAACUGAGCUAUCCAGGCACCUGUACCACUUUUUAAAUCGCACCCUUAAAGGCUCACUCCGAUCCUGUGCAAGGUGUUGGGGAGUUCAUCACUUGCAACUUUAAAAUAAGGGAGCGGCUAAAUUUAGAAAAUGUGGAGCGGGAAUGAGAAAGCAGUGUGGGCUGUCCCCUCCACCCACCUUCCCGGGCUCCGUGCCUACCUUUACCCUCACCUACAAAUCUGAGCUGCAGAUCUGAAGCCUCCGUGGGAGAACGGUUUCAUCUUGGGGUGCCAGCCCGUGGCUGAGUGUGCUGCCAGGCGUGGCCGUGACUUUGUCCAGUGGAGUGGACGCUCCAACCCCCCCCCCCGCCAGGUGGCCCGACCCUGCUGUCCGGCUGAGAAAACUGACGCUCAGAGGACAGUCUGAAGUCUGUGCCCCGUCCCUCUCGUGGAGCCCACCACCAGCUUAGCCUGUGCCUCCCCGUGCACGGGGACAGCCAACUGUCACGAGGACCCCUGGGAGUCUCAUCAGUGUCCCUAGGCUCCAGAAGGGGAAAGUGGCCCAAGGGCACAUGGCCAGCGAGUGGCAGAGCCCUGCCCUGUGCUGCCCUGGUUACAGGUGGAGCGGUGUGCUGGGAUUGGUAGGAGGGUGGUGGGUGCACAGGUGAGGGCCUCGCUGAGGACGGGGUCGGAUUCCGAGUGGAGGGGGAGGGUGACUGGUGGAGGACGGAGCCCCACACCAUGGCCUGGCUCGCUGCCUGGGUACUUGGGACUAAGGAAGUAGAGGGCGAGGCCGCAUCACAGCCCGGAAGUCCCCAUCUAGCAGAACAUCUGUCCGAGGACAUCUGGAGGGAAACUGGUGGUCCCCAGGCUGAGCCCUCAGGGAGGUGCAUGGAGGCACUGAGCCGUUUCUGGAACCCCCCAGCUAUCACAAGUCUGUUCCCUUUGCCUGAAAUGCCUGAUGAACUCCUAUUCAUCCUUCAGCACCCAGCAUGAGCCUCCUCCUGACUGCUUGCUUUCUUCCUUCCAGAGCUGUAGGGACCUUCGCCUCUCUGGAUGGCCCUGUGCUCUUGAAGCCUUGAGCCUAGUGUCAUGCCAUCUGCCUCCCCCCCAGCCUCUGACCCCUGUGGGCAGAGCAAGGUCCCUGUGGCCAGCACAGGGCUGGCCGGCUGGCCCCAUCAUCAGGAGGAGGAGGGAAGCACCAAGUCCCCACCCAGCAGGUUCUGAGAGAGUCACUGGCCAGAGCCAGUGGUAAGUCCCAGCGUCCUGAUGAGCUGGUUUUGAUCUGGGGGGGCUUGGAGGGAAACCAAGUUUUCCCACCUCAGCCCCACAAAAGUGGUUUGGGACUGCUUUACAUAGCAUCCCAUGCUGGCCCCGUGGUGUCCGCCUGACCCUGCUGCUCAGAGUCAUGUGACGGAGUUCUAGAUACCCCACCCCCACUCUGUGUGGCCUGGUCAGCCUACCCCUGCAGGCUUCCUGGCUCUGAGGCCAAAGAAGUCACUGUCCUCACCCAGCCCUGAGCAGGGCCCCCUGGGAACAAGGCCUCCUUGGAGCCCGGGCUGUGGCUGGCUUUGGAGGCCAUGGCAGGACAGCUCUGUGAGAUCUGGAGGCCACCUACAGGGGGCUGCGAGCUCCGAGGUGACGGUGUGGGGGCUAAAGCACCGACUCUGAGAAGGCCCUUGGCCCGGGGAUCCCCAGCCCUGAUACCAGGGCCAAGACCCUGAGGAGCUGGAGCCAGGCGGGCUCGUAGCACUUAGAGGUGGGAAUACCGAGGCGAGAAAGAGGCACGGGGGCCGACCAGGCUUGGGAUCCCCUCUGGGAGCACCCCUGAGUGGCCGCUGGGUGCCAGGGGCCUCGUGUUUCUCCCUGCACCCUCCCUGUUGCCCCCAGCCCGUUCGGGGUCGUCUCCUAUCUGCGCACAAGGAAACCGGGCCCCAGAGGGGAGCUGACCCCUGAGCCUCUCACAGGCUCCCCAGCUCGAGGAGACUGCUUCUUGGGGCACAUCUCCUGGGGAGCACAGUUGGGCUGGCCCUGGGCUCUCCCACAGAGGCAGGUCAAACGCAGGGAUGCUGGGAGCCACCGCUGAUGCCCACGCUCCUGGGGUCGCCUGGCAAGAGGCAGACCCACCCCCGAUUUACACGGAGCUGGGUGAGCCAGGGAACUUCAAAGCCUGCACCCGGACCCGGCUGGUCUCCAGGGGGAGGGCCCCCGCCCUUGGAAAAGGCAGACAUAAAGCCCCGUGAGGAGCGGCCUCCACCCUAGGCCUUGCAGAACCCCACAAGUAGAUUCUCAAGGACGUCGAGGAGCGUGCGUCUGAGGUCACCAGGCUUGUGAGGAAAUGAGGCAGCAAGGGCAGGAAUCGAGAGAAAACACACGACGGAGUGCCAGACCCAGUCUGAACCAGCGAUGCCCACAUGUUUAAGGCAAUAAAAGGCGAGCUAGAAAAUAAUCUCCAGGGAAUAGGAAACUAUUGAAGCAGCAGUGGAGAUUUGUAAAACAAGCAAACAGAACAUCUAGGAAUAGAAAAAGGACAAACACUCAAAACUCAGUGGCUGUGUUUGGCGGCCACACGGACGAUGCAGAGAGAAGUUAGUGAAAUGGAACACAAGCCCCGCGGGCUGAGCUCGGGGUGGGGUGGGGGGGCCCAGAAGCGGGACCCACAGGAGAGAGGGCAGCACGCAUGAAGCGUGCAGUGAGGGGGACUUCCAGGGGUCUAAGGCAGUCCCCGGAAGAGCGAGGAAACAAAAUUUAAACAAAAGUUGAGAAUCUUCCAGAACCAUCCCACGGAUACAAGACUCCAGGUGAAUUCCCAAGAAGGGUAAAUCCGCGACCAGACACACCUCGGGGGGAGCUGCAGAAAACCAAAGGGAAGAUCUUAAGCGGCCAGAGAGCAGGAGGACGGAGUACCGUCAAUGAGCAGCUCCCCACGGGCGGACCGGCUGACGGGCGUCCCCACACCCACACCCGCAGGAGGCCGGGGGCAAGGCAUCUCCAUCACCACAUGCUGGGAAAAGAGACCCCGGCUACCUCCCUCCCCUGUGAGAACACCCUUCAAAAUGGGGCAAAACGGAAAAGAGCGAGCGAUCCUGUCCCUCGCAGAGCUGUGCCAAGGGAAGUCCCCAGGCAGGAAGCUCCCGGCAGAAGCCAAAUCUGAGAUGCAAGAAAGGACAAGGGGGCAGAAAUACGUGGGAGAGUGGACAGGGACGUCUGAGAAAGGGCCAUAAGAGCGCCCAGCUGCUGCACAGGACUCUGGGGCGGGUGGGGACAAGGCAGGGGGCACCCAGGGUCACGCGUCCCUGCGGUCAAAAGGCAGCAGAAUAAACCACCUGAAGCCA